UCUUUCAGUUUAAAUGAAAUUUAGAAACAAGAGUGUGUCGUUAGUUUUGCUUGUUGUCAAUUUCGUUCCUUUUCGUGUUUGUUUUGUGAAAUUUCUAUCAAGUAAACAGGUGGCAAGAUUAUCCUUCUCUUUAGUUCUACGAUGUGAAACGAUUUUCGUUUUUUUUUUGUUACUUAUCUGUGUAUUUGGUGAUUAUUCGUUUAUUCGCCAUAUUGCUGAAAAAUUGAAAAGAAAAAAUCAUGACAUCAUUAUGCAUAUAUACAUUGAAGAAGAUAACCCUGACGGUGCUAAAAUUUGAUUGACCGGAUUAAUUACCUUCCUGAAUCUGAUGGUCUCUCAAAUACAACUCCGUAUUUGCGUAUUUGAGUUGUCCAAAGAAGCUGCAGUAUGCUGAAAGUUGGAAUAAAAGUUGCAAAGGUACAUUAAAGAAAGAAGUAAAAGGGCACGAUAAACGAGAUAAUGACGAUAAAUGAUCAUGUUGCUCGAGAACCGAGAGCACCAUUAGUCAAAGCAGUUUUAGAAAAGUUUGUCAGGAGUGAUC
Apis dorsata (giant honeybee) is the source of this 541-nucleotide long non-coding RNA. RefSeq lists it as uncharacterized. The record is from RefSeq and is a predicted model, not a curated record. The transcript is spliced from 3 exons. NCBI's taxonomy places the organism in Eukaryota, Metazoa, Arthropoda, Insecta, Hymenoptera, Apidae.